This 387-nucleotide unclassified non-coding RNA is filed under the name uncultured bacterium. RNAcentral describes it as "contains 16S-23S intergenic spacer region". The record is from RNAcentral.
UCCUGGUUUCCCAGGCAGUCCCAUCAGAGUGCCUUGCAUAAAGCAAGUAGCAACUGACAGCAGGGGUUGCGCUCGUUAAAGGACUUAACCCAACAUCUCACGACACGAGCUGACGACAGCCAUGCAGCACCUGUGCUACUGUCUAGACCGAAGCCCAGAAAAUUGUAUUUCUACAACGGUCAAUAGCAUGUCAAGUCCAGGUAAGGUUCCUCGCGUAGUGUCGAAUUAAACCACAUGUUCCACCGCUUGUGCGAACCCCCGUCAAUUCCUUUAAGUUUUAGCCUUGCGACCGUACUCCCCAGGCGGAUCACUUAUCGCGUUAGCUGCGACACUGCCUCGGCUAAGCCAAAGCAACGUCCAGUGAUCAUCGUUUACAGCGUGGACUAC